CUGUAACUAUGUUAGAUGUCAUGUUGUCCUUAGAAGUUUAUAUAUUAAGGACAAUAUAUUGAUCAGGCUAGGUUAUGUUGUGAUAAUACACAACCCUGGGUGUUCUUUUCUGCUUUGUAUAAUGGUGGCUGUGACUCUCCAUGAGCUGGCUCAGCACUCCAGUCAGCUUUGAUGUCAGUGACCAUCUAAUCAGUGUGGUCCCCCUGUCGCUGCAGUAAAAGAGGGGCAAGGCUGCUAGACAAGUGCUAGGGACAGAGGCCUACAUCUGGAAACGAAUCAUUCUUUUUCUUAUAUGUCCUUGUCCCAACAGAGCUAAGUGUGCUUCCAUAUCAGGGAUGUGUGAUUGUCCAGACAGACAGUGGCAUCUGUGUAGGAGACAUUAUUGCAUUAUUGACAUUAUAUGCUGUACCUAGCAUGAAGUAGACAUUUGAAUCAGGUCUGGGCUAACUACUGGUCCAAUCACCUAGGGCAGUGCCUUCAUCUUUCUUAGAUUAUCUCUCUGUAAAUCAGAAGCAUAGUGAUGACUUCAGAGACUGUAAAGGAGAAGUAAGAUUAGCUUAAUGAAGAAAAUGACAGUACUGGGCAUUUACAUCUGUGGACUGUAAAUGCUGCAUUUAUCACUGUGUGGAUGGUUUUGCAUAAGAACUUCCUGAGAAGGCAUGUGAUUAUUUGCCUCUAUUUGUAGUUGUAGGUCACUGGAAAUAUUAUAGUCUCUUCUGGGGCACUGAAGUUGUGGAAUACAUUUGAGGCUGGCCAUCAGGGUGGAGAAAUGACCCAAAGCUGUCUUUUUGUGGUUUUCUAAAGAAACUAACAAUCUUUGACAUGGAAAGCCAAGCAUAGUCUUCAGGAGACACUUGAAGCAUGGCAUUUCCUCCAUGACAGUCUGGCUCUGAACUGCCCUCACUGCUGCUUUCAUAAAGGAUUGCAAGGAAAGAUACUAACUGCCACCAGUGAAUUCCACUAGUGCAGACAGCAUCAGCAAUGGAUGACACCUCCCCUUUGCUGGAAGGAUACUGGAGAAAAAGACUUCAGAGAGAUAAGGGUUGGUAGUUUCAGGUUCCUCAUUUUCCAGAAGAAAUUCCAGGUAGCAAAUUUCUUUUCCAAUGAGUGGACGGAUCUAAGGAAUUUACACACCUAAAUCCCCUGGUAAAGUCACCAACAAAAAGGAACUCCUCAGUACAUAUGAACAAUUGUGUUCCCUACUGUAGAGGUGUUUGCCUUGACUAGGGUCAUCACAAUAUUAUCUACAGUUCUACUGGUGCCAGCUUACUACCAUGUGAUUCAAGAAUGUUGUAGAAAAGAGAUGGACAUUACUGUGUUGUCAAAAGAAAUCAUUUUUACAAGAAAGAAGGCUACUUAGAGCAACUGAGACAACCAGAGGAACAAUGAGAACCCAGUGAAUUGACGCAAUAUAAAAUAAACAUUUGGCAAGUAAUAA
Molecule: long non-coding RNA, 1438 nt
Filed under: Mus spicilegus (steppe mouse)
Lineage: Eukaryota; Metazoa; Chordata; Mammalia; Rodentia; Muridae
Description: lncRNA (ENSMSIG00000020025.1)
Source: RNAcentral